This is a long non-coding RNA of Anneissia japonica, 516 nucleotides long. RefSeq lists it as uncharacterized. The transcript has 3 exons. Lineage: Eukaryota; Metazoa; Echinodermata; Crinoidea; Comatulida; Comatulidae. The record is from RefSeq and is a predicted model, not a curated record.
UUCAGCUACUUUGGAAAAAUGAUUAGUUAAUGAUAUUGGUCUAAGUUGGUUCCAUGUGGCUGGUGAAGAUUUGGGUAUUGGUACAACAACAGCUUUUUUUCCAUUGGUUUGGAACUUUGCCUUCUUUAAAGGAGGAGUUAAGAAUUUCAGUGAGAGGGGUAGAAAGUUCACAGGCAAACUCGCGAAUAAUGCGAGCGGUAAGACCAUCAGGACCUGACGCUUUAGUUUGAUUUAUGUGUUUUAGACAGUUGAAGACCUCAAACUCUUCUAUUUGCGGUAGCGGCCUCUUAGACGGUAGAUAUGCAGAUACUGAAGCAAAGGCUGCUAUUUGGCCGAUUCCACUUUAUGUUAAAAAGAAGAUAAUCAAGUUUUCAUGUACAAGGGUGAUAGUGACAACAGCAAACUGGCUGAUGUGUAUCUGAAAAAAGAUGCAGGGACACCACUGCUGCCAGAAAAGUUCACCUUGUCGAAGGAGCAAAUAUAUGUACGGUGUGUGAUAUGGUCACAGCAUGCCGU